This 397-nucleotide ribosomal RNA is filed under the name Enterobacter sp. Its description in RNAcentral is "bacterial SSU rRNA". It matches the Rfam family "Bacterial small subunit ribosomal RNA", at positions 80 to 477 of the family's 1533-position model. Lineage: Bacteria; Pseudomonadati; Pseudomonadota; Gammaproteobacteria; Enterobacterales; Enterobacteriaceae. The record is from RNAcentral.
UUGCUGCUUCGCUGACGAGUGGCGGACGGGUGAGUAAUGUCUGGGAAACUGCCUGAUGGAGGGGGAUAACUACUGGAAACGGUAGCUAAUACCGCAUAACGUCGCAAGACCAAAGAGGGGGACCUUCGGGCCUCUUGCCAUCGGAUGUGCCCAGAUGGGAUUAGCUAGUAGGUGGGGUAACGGCUCACCUAGGCGACGAUCCCUAGCUGGUCUGAGAGGAUGACCAGCCACACUGGAACUGAGACACGGUCCAGACUCCUACGGGAGGCAGCAGUGGGGAAUAUUGCACAAUGGGCGCAAGCCUGAUGCAGCCAUGCCGCGUGUAUGAAGAAGGCCUUCGGGUUGUAAAGUACUUUCAGCGGGGAGGAAGGCGAUAAGGUUAAUAACCUUGUCGAUU